GGUUAAGCGACUAAGCGUACACGGUGGAUGCCCUGGCAGUCAGAGGCGAUGAAGGACGUGCUAAUCUGCGAUAAGCGUCGGUAAGGUGAUAUGAACCGUUAUAACCGGCGAUUUCCGAAUGGGGAAACCCAGUGUGAUUCGUCACACUAUCAUUAACUGAAUCCAUAGGUUAAUGAGGCGAACCGGGGGAACUGAAACAUCUAAGUACCCCGAGGAAAAGAAAUCAACCGAGAUUCCCCCAGUAGCGGCGAGCGAACGGGGAGCAGCCCAGAGCCUGAAUCAGUGUGUGUGUUAGUGGAAGCGUCUGGAAAGGCGUGCGAUACAGGGUGACAGCCCCGUACACAAAAAUGCACAUGCUGUGAGCUCGAUGAGUAGGGCGGGACACGUGGUAUCCUGUCUGAAUAUGGGGGGACCAUCCUCCAAGGCU
This 427-nucleotide ribosomal RNA is filed under the name Escherichia coli. RNAcentral's name for it is "partial 23S ribosomal RNA". It matches the Rfam family "Bacterial large subunit ribosomal RNA", at positions 1 to 467 of the family's 2925-position model. The record is from RNAcentral. Lineage: Bacteria; Pseudomonadati; Pseudomonadota; Gammaproteobacteria; Enterobacterales; Enterobacteriaceae.